Molecule: long non-coding RNA, 1157 nt
Organism: Clupea harengus (Atlantic herring)
Lineage: Eukaryota; Metazoa; Chordata; Actinopteri; Clupeiformes; Clupeidae
Source: Ensembl
UAUAUAUAUAUAUAUAUAUAUAAUCUUGGUCCACAUCGAAAGGCUAGUGGAAUGGCUUCCAUGGCAUAUGUUUUGAGGUUAACUGUAUUGAUUAUGGUAAUCAUAGUUUAUUUUCAGCCACAAUUUCAUUUUUUUUUUUUUUGUAACGAGAUAUAUGUGACCGGUUCACCGGUUUGUGCGCCUCACCGAUCUGAUCCAAAUGCCGAUUUUUUUUGUAUUGCUUGGCUGGUUUAAUUUCUUGGUAAUAACCCCAAAAAAUCCAUACCGCGCACAGAGCAUGUAGAGCAGUGCCGCUACUCACAGGGAGAACUGACAGGGGGUGUCAGGGCAAACACGAAGGUCAAGGCAUAUGUAAAUAAGGCAAAAUGGUCAGCACCGUGCAGAAAGUAUAAUUCAUCUGUUGGUCAUGUGACAUAAUGCAAAAUCCCAUGUUUUGUAUUGUACUAAGACGUGCAAUGCAGUUCAGCGUGCCAAAAUAUCAGCUUGUUCCAUUCUCCAACUUCCAUAAUGAAAAUUGCACAAGGAAGCCGAAAGCCGGAGAGACAGACAGCUCGCCUUUAAAGUAAAAGUCACGCGUUUGGGAGGAGAACUAAGAACAACUAAAUAAAUAGAUACCUGUCCAACAGUGUCGCUACUGCUUCAGGACAUAACCAGCGCUAGCAAUACUAUUUGGUUUGUAAACUAGCUAGCUGUCGCGUCUACUAUUAUAUUGCAAUUCUCUGGAUACAUAUAAGUCACAUGACACCAAGGCCCGGAAAUAAACUGUUUGGUAGAAUGGGUUGAACCAGGUUGAACAUCAUAGAAAUAUGGGGGCGGAAACGAAGCAAGGAGCCCUCUGCUCCCCACAGUCAGUCAAAAACGCGAAGGAGACCUUUAUUUAGUUUGGGGUCUACAAUAAACUGUUCCAAUUUCACAGUUGUCAGUAAUUCACCACGCGAUUUUGUAAAAACUGCUAUUGGACCCUCAUGCCAAAUGGAUAAAGACAGGCUUGCAGCAAGCCGUGGUCCGUGCUCUUGGUUGGAGAUGCACCAGUUCAUUGGAGACCUCAUGGCCUCUAGCACAUCGGCUCCUAGCUCUUCACCCGGUCAUCAACAAGGAAAAGACAGCAAUCAACAAGAGGCUCUGCGCUCUUCUUGGGAAACAGCGGGUCAUGAGGC